UUUGCUAACAAUGGUAUUUUCACUUACCUUCAGCGGCAACUAAGGCCAUGUUGUCAAGUCAAAACAAUUUUUUUUUUUUUUUUUUGCGGUUCUUCCAGGAAAUAACUAGAGUGAGAGGAAGUUUGUCAGCAGAUGCUUUUGGAAUGUCAGGCUGGAGCUGUCGUCCCGAAGUUAGUGAGGGAGGGAGCGUGUGUUUGCACCCUGGGCUGAAAAGAUGUGCCAGGUGUUUGCGACAAGCUGUGAUGAGGACGGAGAUUACUUGGAAUCCAUCGUGGUCUCCUUCCUUGUUGAAAAGAGGAAGCUUCUGAAAACAAGCCCUUCGUUAAAGGAAGCCCCACUUAAUUCAAGAGGACUUGAAUGAAGUCCCUUUUAUGAAAACUGCUUGGCAAAAGCUAUUUGGCCCUGAUGUUGGGGACAUGGCUCGGGUCGUCAGUGCCGAAAAACGAGACGCACGAACACGGGGAGAUCUCGACAAGGCUCCUCCAAAAAGCACGCGCCGAGCAAAGGACCCCCCCCUGUGUAUCCCUAACGUGAUGUCCCUGUCCCCUUCCCAUGGGUCAGGUCAGGACGCACGUGCUUCCCAGUUGGCUCAUUGAAGCAAAUUGCUGCUGGGAAAAGAGGGCAAGAGGAAGGGGGUCGCAGGGGGGUUUUGGUUGAAACUGGAGCAAGAUGGAGUCACCAAGAUUUCCUUUGAUAGAAAAGAUAUUAUGUUACUUUCCACCCGGAGGAAGCCUGUGAAGCCAGAAACUAGAAUCAACACCUCCUAGAAGGUUCAGAUAGUUCAAACUUCAAGGCUCCCUUAAAGCAUAGCAGACUUUUUAACUGACUUUGAUUAGGAUGAAAUUUACCCAGGACUGCAAGCAGAGGUCUCAUGGAGAGCACGACACACCUGCAUGAGAGUGACUAAUCGUUAGUGAACAUCUGCAGGUGCCGGGAACAGGUGUCGACACCUCCUCAUAGGCUCCCUGCCUCUUGAGGCAGCUUUCGUUAUAAUCACCCCAUUUUGCUGAUGAGGGAACUAAUGCUUCCUUGGGUUAGUUAGGUGGGGGAGCUCAGUUCUGACCCCAGACAAUUCGAUCCACAGCCAGAGAGCUGAACUAACUUUGCUUUGAGUCUGCUCACCGGUCCCACGAAGAGAACGAGCCGAAGAGAACGAGCCGGAAAACGUCUCUGCCAGCAAUCACAGGGCGUGGCUCUGAUCUGCAUGUCCUCUCCAAAGUCUUAACAAUGAUUUUAGAAAGCCAACCCUUAUGUGCUCAGAAAGCUUUAGAGGUUUUAUUCUGGAAAAAUAAUGAGCUCAUCUCUAUGCUGUGUCACGAUCGAGCAGGGGCACUUUGCAGGCAAAGGUGGGCGGGCAGAGAUGAGCAGGCUGGAGUUUCCAGGGCGUCUUGCCUUUAAUGUACACCAGGUCCUUUUGCUUCACCCCAGGUCACUCUGCAAUCCUAGAACCAGUAGCAGCCUGACACAAAUGACUCAUUGUCCUUGGCCUCAAACAACAGCAAGGCUACUUAGAAUACAAAGCGCAUUUUAUGAAAGCAAGCUGCCACCACUGGCCACGGCCACUUGGUUCUUGCAGGAUCCACAGCCUGGCUGGACCAAGGGAAUGGCUUCUUGGCUGUUCAGUCUCACUUCAGAUGCUAUUUGAGGAUAAGGAGCAUUGACAACACAAGCUCAUUAGCCCUCAUGACUCAUUUGUGGUGACAUAGGGAUGUCACCGAUGUCACAAAGAGGUCCCACCCUUUUUAAAACCCUUUUCCCCUGAAGGCAAGUGGGUGCUCCAUCCUUGCCCUCACCCUGAGAAAGGGAUGCUUGUUUUAGUUGCAGAUCAGAGCGGGUGUGCGUGCAAGGGCAUGCAGGAGUGGGCUCUCUUGCCACUGCAGAGAGGGGUGCCUCCUCCCAGGAAUGGGCGGUGCCAGCCACCAGAGAAUUUCCAUCUGGGAAUGUCCCCAAAGGUACCCCGGUCUCAGGCCUUGUCUGUGUCAAGACCUGCACCUAGAGCUUCACGGGGCUCCAGUGGCAAACUUCCUUGGAGGAAUCGUUUCUGCCUCUUCUGCUCCCUUAUCCACGCAGCACUCCAGCUGGGCAUUUGUUCCCGACACGCCAGUGAAACUGCUCUCAUCUCAGUCCCCAGUGACCUCUACACGGCCAAAUGCAAUGUCAGUUUUCAGUUCAUGUUAUCUUAGAUUGCCUAUCCUCAGCAUUUGACAUAGCUGGUGAAGCCCUUGCCCUUGAAACUCUUUCUUCUCUGACCUCCAGAGCACCUCUCUCACAGGUCUGCUUCUUACUCUGCUGGCCCCUUCCCAGUCUCUUUUCCCGCUUGUGCCCCCUGACCAAUCUCUGCUCUCCAAGUGCGCCAGGGCCCAGGCCUCAGCCCUCUUCUCUCUCUGCCCUUCUCUUUGGGGUCUCACCCUAGAUGACCAGCUUUAAAAACCAUGCACAUUUGACUGGUUUCCCUAAUUUAUAUUUCUAGCCUUCCUUACUCUCUGUGGCCUCCAGUCUAGUUCAUGCUACCACCUGUUGGGUAUGCUGCCUGGGUGUCUCAUGGGCAUCUCACGAGUGACAUCCAAAGCCGAGGUCCCGAUUGUCCUCCCAAAUCUGUCCCCUCCAGCGUCUCCCCACAACUCCACCGUCCUAGUUGCUCAGGUCCAAACUUUGGAGUUAUUCUGGCUUUCUGUCUGUUUCUCACACCCACAGCCAGUCAGCAAAUCGUGUUAGCUUCACUUUCAAAAUACAUCCAGAAUUGGAGUUCCCAUUGUGGCUCAGUGGGUUAAGGACCCAACAUUGUCUCUGUGAGGAUGCGGUUUCGAUCCCUAGCCUGGCUCAGUGGGUUAAGGAUCCGGUGUUGCUGUGGCUGUGGUAUAGGUUGUUGCAGCUGCAGCUCUGAUUCGACACCUGGCCUGGGAACUGCCAUAUGCUGCUGCUGCAGCCGUAAAAAGAAAAACAAAACAAAACAAAACAAAAACCCGCUCAGAAUCGAGCUCCUCCCUGCAUUUCUGCCACAUUCUCCUUCUCCUGGAUGUUGGCAACAGCCCUUAACUGGCCUUGCUGCUUCUGCCCUGGCUUCUUAUCCAAUCUUCACACAGAAGCUAAAGAAAACCAGUCCUUCGGUCCCUACGCUGGUCAUCAGUGGCGUCCCAUCACACAGAGGAAGGAUCUGGCGUGGCCCCCUGCUGAGCUGGCCCCGGACAGGCCCCUCCGGCAGCUUCUCCCAUCUUUCCCCACUUACCGACCUUUUUACAGCCAACCUCCUUCUGUUGUGCGAACAAGCCAUGCUCUUGCUUCUCCAGCUGUUCCCUCUUUCUAGAACGCUCUUCCCCCAGAUGUUGGCAUAUUGCUAAUGCUAUUCAGACCUCAGCUCAAACAUCCCCUCUUCAGCAAGUCUCCUCUUUCUCCGACGAGCUAAUGUAAAGUAACAGCCCCUCCCCAACCCCGUUACUUGAAUUUUAUUUUACUCCAUUUUACUUUCUCCAUAUUAUGAACCAUCAUCUGGAAUGGCUGCAUUUCUUUCUUCCCUUGUGUAUUGUCUCUCUUCACCACCAGAAUGAAAGCUGCAUGGUGGCAGGAACUCGGUCCCCGGCUGCAAGCACAGAGCCCGCCACACGGUUGCCAGGCUGCCCUGGAAGGUUGUAAAGGUUGUUCACUGCAUCAGAGCUCUUGGCUGAGGGGCUGGCAGGUACUCAUAUUUAGCUUGCCCCUUGCUGUCCAUGCUGCAGGGGCAUUUAGCAAGUUGCCUUCUGCUAUUUUCCAGUGUGUGCUGUAUGGGCUGGCUGUGGCUCUGUGGUGGGCAUGUGAUAAAUAGUCAUAGACUAAAUGGCUGGCCGAUGGAUGUGCAGACCUUUGCUUGUUUUGUUCUGUGGGGCUUCAUGCAAAUUACCUUCUGAUGGCCUCAUUUUCCUCAUUUGUUAGGGGAGUAAUUACCAUCUAGCUUGGGGUACAGUUUAGGAGCAUUACAUGAACUGGUUUAUUAAAAAGCUGGUGCAAAUGUGAUUACAUUGGCGUGGCAUAUCCAGAAUAGGCAAAUCUGUAGAGACACAAAGCAGAUUUGAGGUUGCUGGAAGAUGGAGAAAUGAGGAGUGGCUGCUUGAUGAGUAGGGGGAGUCCCUUCUGCGUGAUGAAAAUGUUUAAGAACUAGCUAAGUGCGGGUUGUGCAGCAUUCGGCAUGUACGAAAUGUCACUACCUUGUGAGCUGAAAAUGACUAAUUGACUGAUAUGGUGAAUUUUUUGUUAUGUGAACCAGAUUAUGCUAUAUGAAUACUUCAAUUUAAAAACAAAUAAAAGAAACGCCAGACCCAGAGCUGAGGA
Molecule: long non-coding RNA, 4302 nt
Organism: Sus scrofa (pig)
Lineage: Eukaryota; Metazoa; Chordata; Mammalia; Artiodactyla; Suidae
Source: RefSeq, a predicted model, not a curated record